Hemicordylus capensis (graceful crag lizard) is the source of this 694-nucleotide long non-coding RNA. RefSeq lists it as uncharacterized. NCBI's taxonomy places the organism in Eukaryota, Metazoa, Chordata, Lepidosauria, Squamata, Cordylidae. The record is from RefSeq and is a predicted model, not a curated record. The transcript is spliced from 3 exons.
GCUGAACCUGAGCACUAGCCAGCCAGCCAGGAGGUGAGGGAGAGCAGGGAGGGCUUGACACUUCUCCCUCUCGUCGUCUUGUUUCACUUGAAUCUGAGAUAAGUCCUCCAGUCAGGAGCCAAAAGCAUACCAGGACCCCCUUGCGGUGUUACACUUGCCUGUUCCCCAUGAUCUCUCCGAUGGAGUGCUUGAAGUUCACCACAGUUUGUGAUCCAUCUCAGAAAUGUCUCACAUCUGUGACAAAAGGACAAAAAGGCGCCCUCAAGCUGGUAAUCAAUGAGAAGAGUUGUGGGGAUCCUUCCAUGUGCUCGACCCAUGGCAUCCGCCCCAUGUUUGGAACCAAUUUCACCUACUACAUUUCCUGCUGCUCCACAGACCUAUGCAAUGGGGUCUCCAGGGGGCCCAGCAUGUUCUGGGGGCUGUUGGCAUUUGCUCUCCUGUCAUUCAUCCUGGUCUCCCUCCACUGAAACAGAUCAACCCAAAUGUUGCCUUCUCCACUGCUGUGAGGACUCGGGACCACUCACCACAUUGCUAUUUCCUCCCAGCCUCCUAGAAGAGCCACUUUCUCACAGUGCUUUGGCGGGUGAGGGGAGCCUAAUUCACAUCCCCUUUCCCCAUCCUUGUUGUUUCCCUUUCUUCUGCUAUUUUCACAAGUGAAAUUUGGGGAUGGGAAAUAAAAAUUGUAUUCAAUUUA